This 414-nucleotide ribosomal RNA is filed under the name uncultured microorganism. RNAcentral describes it as "bacterial SSU rRNA". It matches the Rfam family "Archaeal small subunit ribosomal RNA", at positions 459 to 872 of the family's 1478-position model. The record is from RNAcentral.
CAGCAGCCGCGGUAAUACCGGCGGCCCGAGUGGCGGUCACUCUUAUUGGGCUUAAAGCGUCCGGAGCCGGGGUGGGAAGUCCUCCGGGAAAUCUGGCCGCUUAACGGUCAGAAUGCCGGAGGAUACUCCCAGCCUAGGGGGCGGGGGAGGCCGAGGGGAUUCCCGGAGUAGGGGUGAAAUCCUAUAAUCCCGGGAGGGCCACCUGUGGCGAAGGCGCUCGGCUGGAACGCGUCCGACGGUGAGGGACGAAGGCCAGGGGAGCAAACCGGAUUAGAUACCCGGGUAGUCCUGGCUGUAAACGAUGCGGACUUUGUGUCGGACAAGCUAUGAGCUUGUCCGGUGCCGGAGGGAAACCGUUAAGUCCGCCGCCUGGGGAGUACGGCCGCAAGGCUGAAACUUAAAGGAAUUGGCGGG